This 329-nucleotide RNase P RNA is filed under the name Candidatus Merdicola faecigallinarum. RNAcentral describes it as "Bacterial RNase P class A". It matches the Rfam family "Bacterial RNase P class A". From Rfam's summary of the family: Ribonuclease P (RNase P) is a ubiquitous endoribonuclease, found in archaea, bacteria and eukarya as well as chloroplasts and mitochondria. Its best characterised activity is the generation of mature 5'-ends of tRNAs by cleaving the 5'-leader elements of precursor-tRNAs. RNAcentral also lists the same sequence under 1 other name. The record is from RNAcentral. Lineage: Bacteria; Bacillati; Bacillota; Clostridia.
UAGUCGCGUAUAGCAAGGCUGAAAAGCAGCGUACGAGGAAAGUCCGGGCUCCAUAGAGCAAAGAUGCUGGAUAACGUCCAGUGAGGGAAACCUUAAGGAAAGUGCAACAGAAAACAACCGCCUAUUUUUAGGUAAGGGUGAAAAGGUGAGGUAAGAGCUUACCGCUAAUAUGGUGACAUAUUAGGUCAAUGUAAACCCCAUCUGGAGCAACACCGAGAUUGAGGGUUAAGACUGCUCGUCGUCCUCUUAUUGGUGGCUUGAGAUAUAUGGUAACAUAUAUACUAGAUAAAUGACUAUUCAACGACAGAACCCGGCUUAUCGAUUUACUU